Molecule: unclassified non-coding RNA, 169 nt
Organism: Gorilla gorilla gorilla (western lowland gorilla)
Lineage: Eukaryota; Metazoa; Chordata; Mammalia; Primates; Hominidae
Source: Ensembl
CUGACCACACUCCCUGGAGCCUUCUCCCGAGGUGCGCGGGUGACCUUGGCACAUACAGCCAUCGUGAUGAUACUUUAAGUGGAGGCUGAAUCAUCUCCCCUUUGAGCUGCUUGGCACGUGGCUCCCUUGGUGUUCUCCUUUUACUGCCAGGACACUGAGAUUUGGAGAG